UACAGAGGUCUCAAGCGUUGUUCGGAAUCAUUGGGCGUAAAGGGCGCGUAGGUGGCCCGGUCAGUCCGUGGUGAAAGCGCGGGGCUCAACCCCGCGUCGGCCAUGGAUACUGCUGGGCUGGAGCACUGUAGAGGCAGGCGGAAUUCCGGGUGUAGCGGUGGAAUGCGUAGAGAUCCGGAAGAACACCGGUGGCGAAGGCGGCCUGCUGGGCAGUUGCUGACACUGAGGCGCGACAGCGUGGGGAGCAAACAGG
Molecule: ribosomal RNA, 253 nt
Filed under: uncultured bacterium
Lineage: Bacteria
Description: partial 16S ribosomal RNA
Rfam family: Bacterial small subunit ribosomal RNA
Source: RNAcentral